UGAGUGUUUGUUUCCGGCACUGUGUUAGCUCUUUCCGGAGUUAUACAUGUUACUAAAUGGGAGUAGAGAGUUUGGGUGUCGUUUUUUUCUUCCUUUAAAAGAAAGUUGAGGGUGAUGGCUCAAUUAAAAUCAGAGUAGGCUUUAUGACUUUGAGAUAAAUUCCUCUGCGUCAGUGAUUAAGAUUGGCAUAAUAUCCCGGAGAUGGGUAGCUAGUCAUGAUGGAAAAGAGAAGGAGACAAUAAAGUGCCAGCAUCUGCGGUUAAACUUUGCCUUCUAGUUAAUACGUUCUUGUGGUUGGGCGGCGAGGUAUAUUGAACAGGAUUUUGGAUCAUAUCGGUGAAAUGGGUGAUUCAUAAGAUUUCAGGGUUCUUACAUCGUUAGCUCGGAAGGCUGUUACAGAAACGGGGAUUAGAUACCCCCUUAUUAAUGCUGAACUAGGAAUCCAUGGGGAGUACGAGCUUUUGCUUAAAAUCUAAGGAAGUUGGCGGUAAUUUCAUAUCAUGUGAGGGGAACUUGGCGGUUAAUUCGAUAAUCCUCGAGGACUUUACCUUCUGUAUUCUUAGCCUACCGCCGUUGUCAGUAACCUUUUUGAUAAUAUAGAGGGUUGCUAGGGAUAUAAGGUUGUGUUUAACUGAUCUAUUCGAAUUCAGGUAAGGGUGCUGGUUAUCAGGAGGGCUUAGCUGAGUUACAAUUAUACAAUAAAACGGAAGUGGGCUUGAAACAGCUUAUUGAAGGUGUACUUCACAGUAAUGUUUUUUAUUAAAGAAGCGUGAACGGGUUCUGGAUUGUGUACAAAUCGCCCGGCACCCCUGUAUAGUUCAAAAUCUGGGUAAGUCGUAACAUAGUAAUGCUACCAUAAGGUGGCUUUAAAUAAU
This 875-nucleotide non-coding RNA is filed under the name Bankia gouldi. RNAcentral describes it as "12S ribosomal RNA". It matches the Rfam family "Microsporidia small subunit ribosomal RNA". The record is from RNAcentral. Lineage: Eukaryota; Metazoa; Mollusca; Bivalvia; Myida; Teredinidae.